Molecule: ribosomal RNA, 1206 nt
Filed under: Francisella tularensis
Lineage: Bacteria; Pseudomonadati; Pseudomonadota; Gammaproteobacteria; Thiotrichales; Francisellaceae
Description: bacterial SSU rRNA
Rfam family: Bacterial small subunit ribosomal RNA
Source: RNAcentral
UUAAACUGAAGAGUUUGAUCCUGGCUCAGAUUGAACGCUGGUGGCAUGCUUAACACAUGCAAGUCGAACGGUAACAGGUCUUAGGAUGCUGACGAGUGGCGGACGGGUGAGUAACGCGUAGGAAUCUGCCCAUUUGAGGGGGAUACCAGUUGGAAACGACUGUUAAUACCGCAUAAUAUCUGUGGAUUAAAGGUGGCUUUCGGGCUGUCGCAGAUGGAUGAGCCUGCGUUGGAUUAGCUAGUUGGUGGGGUAAGGGCCCACCAAGGCUACGAUCCAUAGCUGAUUUGAGAGGAUGAUCAGCCACAUUGGGACUGAGACACGGCCCAAACUCCUACGGGAGGCAGCAGUGGGGAAUAUUGGACAAUGGGGGCAACCCUGAUCCAGCAAUGCCAUGUGUGUGAAGAAGGCCCUAGGGUUGUAAAGCACUUUAGUUGGGGAGGAAAGCCUCAAGGUUAAUAGCCUUGGGGGAGGACGUUACCCAAAGAAUAAGCACCGGCUAACUCCGUGCCAGCAGCCGCGGUAAUACGGGGGGUGCAAGCGUUAAUCGGAAUUACUGGGCGUAAAGGGUCUGUAGGUGGUUUGUUAAGUCAGAUGUGAAAGCCCAGGGCUCAACCUUGGAACUGCAUUUGAUACUGGCAAACUAGAGUACGGUAGAGGAAUGGGGAAUUUCUGGUGUAGCGGUGAAAUGCGUAGAGAUCAGAAGGAACACCAAUGGCGAAGGCAACAUUCUGGACCGAUACUGACACUGAGGGACGAAAGCGUGGGGAUCAAACAGGAUUAGAUACCCUGGUAGUCCACGCUGUAAACGAUGAGUACUAGCUGUUGGAGUCGGUGUAAAGGCUCUAGUGGCGCAGCUAACGCGAUAAGUACUCCGCCUGGGGACUACGGCCGCAAGGCUAAAACUCAAAGGAAUUGACGGGGACCCGCACAAGCGGUGGAGCAUGUGGUUUAAUUCGAUGCAACGCGAAGAACCUUACCUGGUCUUGACAUCCUGCGAACUUUCUAGAGAUAGAUUGGUGCCUUCGGGAACGCAGUGACAGGUGCUGCACGGCUGUCGUCAGCUCGUGUUGUGAAAUGUUGGGUUAAGUCCCGCAACGAGCGCAACCCCUAUUGAUAGUUACCAUCAUUAAGUUGGGUACUCUAUUAAGACUGCCGCUGACAAGGCGGAGGAAGGUGGGGACGACGUCAAGUCAUCAUGGCCCUUAC